AUACUAUGCUAGGCCAUGAAACUAAGUUAAACAAAUUUAAAAGGAUUGAAAUCAUAUAAAGUAUAUUCUCUUAUUACACUGAAGUUAAACUAGAAAUCAGUAACUGAAGGAAAUUUGAGAAAUUCACAAAUAAGUGGAAAGUAAACAACACACUCUAACCAAUGGGUUACAGAAGAAAGCACAUGGAAAAUGAGAAAAUACUUUGAGAUAAAUGAAAACAAAAACACAAAAUACCAAACUGUAUUUUGGGGAGGAAAAUGGGGAGGGCAAGAUGAAGAGGGGGAAGAAGCCGCUGCCUGCUGUGAGUACAACCCAACAGCAGCCCCAGCAGCACGUGUACUGCUUCAGCCAAGGACGCAGUCUUCCCUGCAGCUGCAGCCACUGACGGAGAUGGCAGGAGUACUAGGGCCAUGCUGUUUCUGCCCAUUAUGGGAGUCUUUUGAAGCAAGCCUUGCUCUAGAGUUCCCUUUUGGGCUGGCCAAGGCUUUCUCGGAGCAGCACCACAGUCGGAGGCUCUUUCUGCCCAAUCCUUUCUUCCCCUUCUCAUAUCAUAAGUGUCAGGCCUGCAUCACUGUCUGAAGGCUUCUCCUGACUACUCUUGUUUUCUUUCCCACUAAUCUCACAGGCAUUAUCUCCCAAUAAAUCUCUUGCUCUUCUAAUUCCAUCUUGGCACGUGCUUCCAGAAGUGACACAGGUCUUCAUUUACCUCAGGGACAGGCAUCUACAACCACCUGUGGGCCAGAGACAAUCAUGACUCAUGGGCUACAGAAGCUGCCUGAGAAGUUUUUAGUGGAGUGGAUGUCAUGAUCCAUUCUGGUCACAGAAUGCAGAUGAAACAGGCAUAGCCAAUAUAAUACACGUGAAAGGUCACCACCAAACUGAUGUGCAGAUCACUUGAAGAAGAGGACAGAUAUGCAAGCUGUACCAGCACAAAAACAGAAUUAGCACUGAAUACCAUAGUACGGCAGUUUCCAGAGGCCAUCCUACAAAAUACUGAUCCCACACGUUGCUCCACCAAAGAAGAAUUUCCUGGGCAAAUGAGUUUAGAGGAUACUAAGCACUACGUCCCAUUCCUGGAGUUCCCAGUGCUCAUCACGAUGUUGAAGCUAUGAGAAUCUCAAAGCAUUCUUAGCUUUGUUUACACACGUUUGACCAGGUAAUAUUUUCUCUAAGGAAUACUCACUGAUAUUUUAUGGAACUUGUUUCUCAUGGAAACUACUCUGGGAAAUGCUGCUCUACCAACAUAUUAAUUUUUAUAAUAUUCUUCAAGGGCAAUGAAUAACAGUAUCAUUGCCAUUUUUAAUUAGUUUAUAAAUACGUUUCAGUUGCCAGUGGUAGCCAUGGAAAGUAAAAAUAAAUGCACAUACAAAAUUA
Long non-coding RNA from Sapajus apella (tufted capuchin), 1374 nucleotides. RefSeq lists it as uncharacterized. The record is from RefSeq and is a predicted model, not a curated record. NCBI's taxonomy places the organism in Eukaryota, Metazoa, Chordata, Mammalia, Primates, Cebidae. The transcript is spliced from 2 exons.